UCUUCUACACACUAUCACAAUUUUUUGCUCUAGUCUUUGACUCUUUAAACCUGUUGCUACCCUUGCUUAGUGUCUGGGUCAUGAUCUUAUUCUUCUUACUGGCCCUUCACAUAUUAGUUGCUUGCUUAGAGCACUUGUUCCACUCUCUGCCUUGCUUACUCUCAAUACUUGACCCAACCCAACUCCACCCUCUGCUUGCUUCCUGCUCCGUGCUGCGCCCUGAACUGCCGCCAAAGAGACAUCGAACAGAUGCCGAACUGCUACCGAAUCCGCCACUGCCACCUUGUCGCCGUUGCCGCUACUGCCCACCGUCGUCGCCGCCCUAACAUUACUACUGCCCCCGUUGCCGCCGUCGUCCCCGCUAUCUGCUGAUGCCCGCCGCUGUUGUUCGCCGCUACCCGUUGCUGCCACCCUGCGGCUGCCUGCUGCUACCAUCUUAUUGCUAUUCUACUACCUUAAUCUACAACUCUUUCUCC
This 476-nucleotide long non-coding RNA is filed under the name Physcomitrium patens. RNAcentral's name for it is "long non-coding RNA (PPAT_LNC004599)". Lineage: Eukaryota; Viridiplantae; Streptophyta; Bryopsida; Funariales; Funariaceae. The record is from RNAcentral.